Oncorhynchus keta (chum salmon) is the source of this 521-nucleotide long non-coding RNA. RefSeq lists it as uncharacterized. Lineage: Eukaryota; Metazoa; Chordata; Actinopteri; Salmoniformes; Salmonidae. The record is from RefSeq and is a predicted model, not a curated record. The transcript is spliced from 4 exons.
AAGAGUAGUUACCAGUCAGGUGCUGCUAAGCUAGGCCAGGGAAGAGUAGUUACCAGUCAGGUGCUGCUAAGCUAGGCCAGGGAAGAGUAGUUACCAGUCAGGUGCUGCUAAGCUAGGUUAGGAAGAGUAGUUACCAGUCAGGUGCUGCUAAGCUAGGCCAGGGAAGAGUAGUUACCAGUCAGGUGCUGCUAAGCUAGGCUAGGGAAGAGUAGUUACCAGUCAGGUGCUGCUAAGCUAGGCUAGGGAAGAGUAGUUACCAGUCAGGUGCUGCUAAGCUAGGCCAGGGAAGAGUAGUUACCAGUCAGGUGCUGCUAAGCUAGGCUAGGGAAGAGUAGUUACCAGUCAGGUGCUGCUAAGCUAGGCUAGGGAAGAGUAGUUACCAGUCAGGUGCUGCUAAGCUAGGCCAGGGAAGAGUAGUUACCAGUCAGGUGCUGCUAAGCUAGGCUAGGGAAGAGUAGUUACCAGUCAGGUGCUGCUAAGCUAGGCUAGGGAAGAGUAGUUACCAGUCAGGUGCUGCUAAG